UGCUGAUAUGGCUCAGUUGGUAGAGCGCACCCUUGGUAAGGGUGAGGUCCCCAGUUCGACUCUGGGUAUCAGCACCAG
Molecule: transfer RNA, 78 nt
Filed under: Yersinia pestis Angola
Lineage: Bacteria; Pseudomonadati; Pseudomonadota; Gammaproteobacteria; Enterobacterales; Yersiniaceae
Also listed under: 7 other names
Description: tRNA-Thr
Rfam family: tRNA
About the family: Transfer RNA (tRNA) molecules are approximately 80 nucleotides in length. Their secondary structure includes four short double-helical elements and three loops (D, anti-codon, and T loops). Further hydrogen bonds mediate the characteristic L-shaped molecular structure. tRNAs have two regions of fundamental functional importance: the anti-codon, which is responsible for specific mRNA codon recognition, and the 3' end, to which the tRNAs corresponding amino acid is attached (by aminoacyl-tRNA synthetases). tRNAs cope with the degeneracy of the genetic code in two manners: having more than one tRNA (with a specific anti-codon) for a particular amino acid; and 'wobble' base-pairing, i.e. permitting non-standard base-pairing at the 3rd anti-codon position.
Source: RNAcentral